GUGGGGAAUAUUGGACAAUGGGCGAAAGCCUGAUCCAGCCAUGCCGCGUGUGUGAAGAAGGUCUUCGGAUUGUAAAGCACUUUAAGUUGGGAGGAAGGGCAGUAAGCUAAUACCUUGCUGUUUUGACGUUACCGACAGAAUAAGCACCGGCUAACUUCGUGCCAGCAGCCGCGGUAAUACGAAGGGUGCAAGCGUUAAUCGGAAUUACUGGGCGUAAAGCGCGCGUAGGUGGUUUUGUAAGUUGAAGGUGAAAUCCCCGGGCUCAACCUGGGAACUGCCUCCAAAACUGCAUGACUAGAGUACGGUAGAGGGUAGUGGAAUUUCCUGUGUAGCGGUGAAAUGCGUAGAUAUAGGAAGGAACACCAGUGGCGAAGGCGACUACCUGGACUGAUACUGACACUGAGGUGCGAAAGCGUGGGGAGCAAACAGGAUUAGAUACCCGUGUAGUCC
Molecule: ribosomal RNA, 450 nt
Filed under: uncultured bacterium
Lineage: Bacteria
Description: bacterial SSU rRNA
Rfam family: Bacterial small subunit ribosomal RNA
Source: RNAcentral